RNAcentral lists this ribosomal RNA (492 nucleotides) under uncultured bacterium. Its description in RNAcentral is "partial 16S ribosomal RNA". It matches the Rfam family "Bacterial small subunit ribosomal RNA", at positions 29 to 507 of the family's 1533-position model. The record is from RNAcentral.
AGUGAACGCUGGCGGUAGGCCUAACACAUGCAAGUCGAACGGCAGCACAGUAAGAGCUUGCUCUUACGGGUGGCGAGUGGCGGACGGGUGAGGAAUACAUCGGAAUCUACUUUUUCGUGGGGGAUAACGUAGGGAAACUUACGCUAAUACCGCAUACGACCUACGGGUGAAAGCAGGGGAUCUUCGGACCUUGCGCGAUUGAAUGAGCCGAUGUCGGAUUAGCUAGUUGGCGGGGUAAAGGCCCACCAAGGCGACGAUCCGUAGCUGGUCUGAGAGGAUGAUCAGCCACACUGGAACUUAGACACGGUCCAGACUCCUACGGGAGGCAGCAGUGUGGAAUAUUGGACAAAGGGCGCAAGCCUGAUCCAGCCAUACCGCGUGGGUGAAGAAGGCCUUCGGGUUGUAAAGCCCUUUUGUUGGGAAAGAAAAGCAGCAGGUUAAUACCCCGCUGUUCUGACGGUACCCAAAGAAUAAGCACCGGCUAACUUCGUG